Molecule: ribosomal RNA, 253 nt
Filed under: uncultured bacterium
Lineage: Bacteria
Description: partial 16S ribosomal RNA
Rfam family: Bacterial small subunit ribosomal RNA
Source: RNAcentral
UACGUAGGUGGCAAGCGUUAUCCGGAUUUACUGGGUGUAAAGGGCGUGUAGGCGGGAAAGCAAGUCAGAUGUGAAAACCACGGGCUCAGCCUGUGGCCUGCAUUUGAAACUGUUUUUCUUGAGUACUGGAGAGGCAGACGGGAUUCCUCGUGUAGCGGUGAAAUGCGUAGAUAUGAGGAGGAACACCAGUGGCGAAGGCGGUCUGCUGGACAGCAACUGACGCUGAGGCGCGAAAGCGUGGGGAGCAAACAGG